GGCAGGAGAAUCGCUUGAACCUGGGAGGAGGAGGUUGCAGUGAGCCGAGAGCAUGUCACUGCACUCCAGCCUGGGCAACAAAGCGAGACUGUGUCUCAAAGAAAAAAGAAAAAAAGACAUGAUUUGAGGGUCUGUUUUAAAAUUCUCUUUACUUAUGUACAUAUCAGAAAGUUUCCAAAGGUAUUUUUUUUAUACAAGAAAAAUGUAGUUUUUAGGGAUUUUAGAGCCAGUAUAACUCCUGCAAGCAAACAUUUUAUUUAAACACUACUAAUAUGGCAUUUAUGAUAGUUCAGUAAGACUAAGCUGAAAUUUUCCUCACCACUAUCUUUGGAAAGGAGACAUAACACUUAUUUCCAAAUUCAUGCUUUGAACAUACUUGUACAGAUAACAAGACGACAUAUUUUAUGCCUUUUAGAUGCACUCACCUAUUUUUGGGCCCUAGGCUGGAAGUCAUUCUACUUAUACCUCAAUGAAGGAAUGCACUGCUAACUGGUACGAAGUCACAGUGUAUAGCUGAAUCUAACACGAAGGCAUUCCUUUGGCAGGAGUCAAAAUCUCAGACUUUUUAUUAAUUCAUGCAGACUUCUUUGUCAAUCUAAGUUAUUAAGAUUUUCUAUAUUGUUAAAUGGACUUUUUUUUGCUAAUUUGAAAAAAAGUUGAUGAUUUUGUUUCAAAUACGUCAGUGUCGUGGGAAACCUUUAAUCAGGGUGUGAUAAUAGCUCCCUGUGUGUUUCCAGCCAAGUCCAUCUACCUCAAGCUUGAGUUCUACUCACUCGGCUUCACCUAAUGUGACAAGUUCUGCUCCAUCGAGUGCCAGAGGUCAGUGCCAGAGUGUGGGGAAGACUGAGGGUGCCCAGAGAACCUUCUAGUCCUGGGAACUGUGGCCAGCUGCCACACGUUCAGGCUCUCACCUCCAAACAGGUGCAGCACCACUACCAUGCUGAUGAUCCUCUCUCUCCUUCUCUUCCCAGCUUCUCCUUUGUUGUCUGACAAACACAAACAUUCCCGAGAAAACUCUUGCCUGUCCCCAAGAGAGAGACCAUGCAGUGCCAUCUAUCCAACACCUGUGGAGCCUUCGCAGAGGAUGCUGUUUAAUCAUAUUGGAGAUGGGGCCUUGCCACGCAGUGACCCAAAUCUCUCUGCACCUGAAAAAGCUGUGAACCCCACCCCUAGCAGCUGGAGCCUGGACAGUGGGAAGGAAGCCAAGAACAUGUCGGAUAGUGGGAAACUUAUCUCUCCCCCUGUCCCUCCAAGACCCACACAGACUGCUUCACCAGCAAGACACACGACAUCAGUAUCCCCCUCGCCUGCCGGGCGAUCUCCAUUGAAGGGCUCUGUGCAGUCUUUCACCCCCUCUCCAGUGGAGUACCACUCGCCAGGACUCAUCUCCAACUCCCCUGUCUUGUCGGGCAGCUACAGCAGUGGGAUUUCUUCUCUCAGCCGGUGCAGCACGUCGGAAACCUCAGGCUUUGAAAAUCAGGUGAAUGAACAGUCGGCCCCCCUGCCGGUGCCCGUGCCGGUGCCGGUGCCCGUGCCGAGCUACGGCGGGGAGGAGCCAGUGCGCAAGGAGAGCAAGACUCCGCCCCCGUACAGCGUCUACGAGCGGACUCUGCGGCGCCCCGUCCCGCUACCUCACAGCCUCUCCAUCCCCGUCACGUCGGAGCCGCCCGCGCUGCCCCCCAAACCUCUGGCAGCGCGAUCCAGCCACCUGGAGAAUGGGGCCCGGAGGACUGACCCCGGCCCGCGGCCCAGGCCCCUGCCCCGCAAGGUCUCUCAGUUAUAAGUCACUUUUCUAUGUACCUGCGAUGCAUUCUUUGCCCGUUUACAAAAUAAGACGUAUGAUGAGAAGACAUUUAGUGUAGGCACUUUAAUAACUUACUCAGCUCCUUCGAUGAAUGGAAUUAAAACUUGCUUAUUAAAUAUCAUGUUGCACAAUAUUAAAAGUUGCUGAUCUAAAACGCCAGAUGUUAAAUGAAGUAUGGCUGAAUUUCAUUAAAACGUUUCUCAUUUGAAAGUGGUAAAUAGUGAUAAAGACUCCUUUUGUACCUUUUUAUGUUCACUUUUUUUUAUAUAGUUUAAUCUUAAAACCAAUACGAUAUUGUCAAACAAUACAAUGUGUGACAAUGUUGUAUCGUUUUUACUGAAUACUUGAUACUUGGAGAAAGCUUAUUAAGUCAGUGCACAUCCUAACACAGUGGUCCUUAUUUUAGAAGACUUCUGUAAAUAAAUAAGGCAAGGUUUAUCAGUGCAGAUCAUCAGAAUUAAAGUUCAAGCAGGCGAGCAAGACAGUAUACUUAAGGGGUUGCAAAGCUUGGGACUGGAAAUUGUUUUGUUCUUGAAACAAAAUACUUCUUUAAGGUUGCUUUUGCUGUUUGACUGCUGUCUACAUUCGUAAAAUUCUAUUUUGUGAAUUGGUUGCUAAAUCCCUUACUACCCUGACACCAUGGUAUCUACUGUAUUUCUUUUCAAGGUGCAAUUUGCUUCAGAGUUCCAAUCAGCUAGAUUAAGCAAGAGGCUCCAGAAGAAAUGUUUACUUGAAUUUUGCGCUUCCUUUCUUGAUAGUUUCCUAUAUAAAAUUUGUCAUUGAACAAGAGCAAAUGCUGAAGUAUUAAUGAGGCACAAAUGACUGUGCCCCAUUAGCAAGAAUUCAGGAAUCAAUACAGACAGUAUUAAAUUAAUAGCUUAAGUGAAGAAAAAAAAAAACUUAGUGAAAAUGUAUUAGCACGAUUAAAUGGCAAAAGGACUUAUAAAAGGCAAGGGCAUUAACUUUCAGUCCUGCACAAAAUAAAAAAUUCCUCACGACUCUCCACUUUUACCAGUGGAGUUUGUCUUAGCUGACCUGUCGUCUUUCUCUUGAAGGAGGAUUGCUGUAGACUUCUCUAGCUUGAAUAUUGCAACAUAGCAUCUUAGGUCUAGAUAGGGAUGCUAAUGCCAGUUGUAGAAGUGUGAAAAAAGCACCUUGUAUGUAGUAAUGUAUUUUAUAUCUUUGUUUUUUCUUUUACUGACUGUUUAUAACACUCAAUUGACAAUAGAUAUGAACUGUAUUUUAAAUCAUACUGUUAAAUAUUUUCCCUCUUUUGUUGGGAAGCUCAUUUUAGUUUAACCAUGUUUGUUUUGUUGGUAGCUUACCUGGAAGGCAGUGACCACUUUUUUAUAUUCUCUUAAUGAAACCAUUCAGCAGGUAUAUGCUGUUGAGGCUGGUUAUAGAGGUUUUCUAUAAUAAAUGUUCAAGUAUUUUUGUAUAUAACUGGUUAAUUUUAAUAAGAGAUACCAUUAUGUGUAAAAAAAAAAAAGUAAAAAUAAACGCAAACAGUUGUUG
Molecule: small RNA, 3319 nt
Filed under: Pan troglodytes (chimpanzee)
Lineage: Eukaryota; Metazoa; Chordata; Mammalia; Primates; Hominidae
Description: retained intron
Source: RNAcentral